GUCUUACUGCUUAAUCUUAAUAUUUUGAACUUCUCGUGCAGAAUCAACAGUCACAAAUGCAUGAUUUACAGCGCCAGGCUCAGCAGAAGUUUCGGCCGAUUCCGAAAAUGUCCUCCACAAUAUCAUCACAGCCGCUUGUGCCACGAAUGCAAGUAUGCCUCCUGUGUGCUUUGCAAAUUUAUAUUCUGUGUUUAGGGAAGAUAGGGCUUGUUGAUUUCAUUAGUGCAUAUUGGAUUCAUCUGCAAUGCAGAGAUCUAGAAUUUACCCAAAAUCUCUCGUCAAUUGCUGAUUCUUUUCUGUACUAAAAUAGAAAGUUUAAUGUUGUUCCAAUUUAUCUUCCCCUUGUUAAAUCUACUAUACAGAUUGGAUUUGCUGAUAGCAUGCUUCCUCAGAGGAAUCUGCUUCUCCGGUUCUGAAUGAUCAGAAUAUGAACCUGCUCUUCUAUUUUUUUCGCCUUUCAGUCAUACUUGGUGGAUGAAUUUGCAGUUAUUUCCUGCCCCUUCUUUUCUUUCGCCUGACAUCUCCUCCUGAUAUGUCCUGUUUUUCUCCCUUGCCAGAAUGGGAGGUUGUCUUCUGCUUUUCUUAUAGGAUCCAUGCAGGGCGGUGACCGACGGUGUUCAUUUUGACACAACAAAAAAGCAAGUGCGCUCGUCGUAUGUUUACUAGAAUCUUAACAUACGAGGCUGAAGUUCAGUUGUGGCCUUUGCUUGCAGUCUAUAAUACGGGAGUAUCCAAUCCCGGUGGUGUAAUGCCCAUACAGCAGCAGCAGCAGCUUGGUUCUCAAGAGGCGUUUGGUAACAUGCAACCAAAUGCUCAGAACUUACAGUCAAGCAUGGCAGUCACAGUUUAUUUUUCCUGACAAAAUAUCCUGUAACAAGGUAUACACUGUUGAAAGUUUGUGACAAGGUUGGGAGUUUGGUAAUGCGCAACCAAAUGCUCGGAAUUUACAAGAUAUGUGCCAAUGAUUAUUUGCUAUGUUGGAAGUUUGCAUACCCACUGGUAA
Populus euphratica (Euphrates poplar) is the source of this 1003-nucleotide long non-coding RNA. RefSeq lists it as uncharacterized. NCBI's taxonomy places the organism in Eukaryota, Viridiplantae, Streptophyta, Magnoliopsida, Malpighiales, Salicaceae. The record is from RefSeq and is a predicted model, not a curated record. The transcript is spliced from 2 exons.